UCUAUUUAAUUAUAUAUAGUUAAUAAGUUAUAGAGUUUUUAGUUAUACAAUAAUUAAACAAUUUUCAAUCGAUGGCAUGCAAAGGAAAAAAUAAUAUGAUUAAACUUCUCAAGUUUAUUUAUACUUUGAUAAUCUGUAUUUCCAUGUUUCUUGUCGUAACCAAUGGCGUCUUAAGGCCAGCUGUUAAGCAGCCAUGGUCUUGUGAACAGGACGAUGAUUGUGAAACAAUGGCAUGUCAUAAACCUUUAAUUCCGUAUUGCAUUUAUUACAAAUGUUUAUGCAUGGAACGUUUUAGUGAUAGAGGGUAUUAAAAAAAUGAUAAAUUAAAAAAAAAUAAAAAAAUAAUGUUAGUACUUUUUAAAUGUCCCCCACAAUUUCAAUUAUGUAUCAAUGAUAUUUCAAUUUCUUUGACGAGCUCAAAAGUGUUAUAUUA
This is a long non-coding RNA of Trifolium pratense (red clover), 433 nucleotides long. RefSeq lists it as uncharacterized. The record is from RefSeq and is a predicted model, not a curated record. NCBI's taxonomy places the organism in Eukaryota, Viridiplantae, Streptophyta, Magnoliopsida, Fabales, Fabaceae. The transcript has 2 exons.